ACUAUGACGGUAGCUUACCAGAAAGGGACGGCUAACUACGUGCCAGCAGCCGCGGUAAUACGUAGGUCCCGAGCGUUGUCCGGAUUUAUUGGGCGUAAAGCGAGCGCAGGCGGUUAGAUAAGUCUGAAGUUAAAGGCUGUGGCUUAACCAUAGUACGCUUUGGAAACUGUUUAACUUGAGUGCAGAAGGGGAGAGUGGAAUUCCAUGUGUAGCGGUGAAAUGCGUAGAUAUAUGGAGGAACACCGGUGGCGAAAGCGGCUCUCUGGUCUGUAACUGACGCUGAGGCUCGAAAGCGUGGGGAGCAAACAGGAUUAGAUACCCUGGUAGUCCACGCCGUAAACGAUGAGUGCUAGGUGUUGGGUCCUUUCGGGACUCAGUGCCGCAGUCUAACGCAUUAAGCACUCCGCCUGGGGAGUACGGUCGCAAGAUUAAAACUCAAAUGAAUUGAC
Molecule: ribosomal RNA, 449 nt
Filed under: uncultured Streptococcus sp.
Lineage: Bacteria; Bacillati; Bacillota; Bacilli; Lactobacillales; Streptococcaceae
Description: bacterial SSU rRNA
Rfam family: Bacterial small subunit ribosomal RNA
Source: RNAcentral